RNAcentral lists this ribosomal RNA (300 nucleotides) under uncultured Ignisphaera sp. RNAcentral describes it as "bacterial SSU rRNA". The stretch from base 52 to 300 matches the Rfam family "Bacterial small subunit ribosomal RNA", at positions 547 to 795 of the family's 1533-position model. The record is from RNAcentral. Lineage: Archaea; Thermoproteati; Thermoproteota; Thermoprotei; Desulfurococcales; Desulfurococcaceae.
CCUCACGGCUUGUGGUCGUCCGCGUGAAGACGGUGUGGGCGUGGUGUGUGCGGCAUGAUGGUGCGUAGCGGGCGCGUAGGUGGUUCGGGAGGUUGUGCGUGUGAUCCCGGUGCUCCACCCCGGGGCUGCCGGGACUAGUGCCGGACUUGAGCACGCUAGGGGCAGAUGGAAUUCCCGGUGUAGCGGUGGAAUGCGUAGAGUUCGGGAAGAACACCAGUGGCGAAGGCGUUCUGCUGGGCCGUUGCUGACACUGAGGCGCGACAGCGUGGGGAGCAAACAGGAUUAGAUACCCGAGUAGUC